AACGGGUGAGUAACACGUGGGUGAUCUGCCCUGCACUUCGGGAUAAGCUUGGGAAACUGGGUCUAAUACCGGAUAGGAACCAUCUUUAGUGUGGUGGUUGGAAAGUUUUUUCGGUGUAGGAUGAGCUCGCGGCCUAUCAGCUUGUUGGUGGGGUAAUGGCCUACCAAGGCGGCGACGGGUAGCCGGCCUGAGAGGGUGUACGGCCACAUUGGGACUGAGAUACGGCCCAG
This 230-nucleotide ribosomal RNA is filed under the name uncultured Actinomycetales bacterium. Its description in RNAcentral is "partial 16S ribosomal RNA". It matches the Rfam family "Bacterial small subunit ribosomal RNA", at positions 101 to 334 of the family's 1533-position model. The record is from RNAcentral. Lineage: Bacteria; Bacillati; Actinomycetota; Actinomycetes; Actinomycetales.